GAGUAGGUACGUCUAAUUGGUAAGGCAGCCGGCUGUAAACCGGUCGAACUAUGUUCACUGUUGGUUCAAGUCCAGCCCUCCUCA
Molecule: non-coding RNA, 84 nt
Organism: Saitozyma podzolica
Lineage: Eukaryota; Fungi; Basidiomycota; Tremellomycetes; Tremellales; Trimorphomycetaceae
Source: the annotation of a GenBank genome assembly